GAUGAACGCUGGCGGCGUGCUUAACACAUGCAAGUCGAACGAUGAAGCCCAGCUUGCUGGGUGGAUUAGUGGCGAACGGGUGAGUAACACGUGAGUAACCUGCCCUUAACUCUGGGAUAAGCCUGGUAAACUGGGUCUAAUACCGGAUAGGAGCGUCCACCGCAUGGUGGGUGUUGGAAAGAUUUAUCGGUUUUGGAUGGACUCGCGGCCUAUCAGCUUGUUUGUGAGGUAAUGGCUCACCAAGGCGACGACGGGUAGCCGUCCUGAGAGGGUGACCGGCCACACUGGGACUGAGACACGGACCAGACUGCAACGGGAGGCAGCAGUGGGGAAUAUUGCACAAUGGGCGCAAGCCUGAUGCAGCGACGCCGCGUGAGGGAUGACGGCCUUCGGGUUGUAAACCUCUUUCAGUAGGGAAGAAGCGAAAGUGACGGUACCUGAAGAAGAAGCACCGGCUAACUACGUG
This 466-nucleotide ribosomal RNA is filed under the name uncultured bacterium. RNAcentral's name for it is "partial 16S ribosomal RNA". It matches the Rfam family "Bacterial small subunit ribosomal RNA", at positions 28 to 507 of the family's 1533-position model. The record is from RNAcentral.